RNAcentral lists this ribosomal RNA (743 nucleotides) under uncultured bacterium. RNAcentral describes it as "bacterial SSU rRNA". It matches the Rfam family "Bacterial small subunit ribosomal RNA", at positions 94 to 823 of the family's 1533-position model. The record is from RNAcentral.
AGCGGCGGAUGGGUGAGUAACACGUGGGGAACCUGCCCCUAAGUCUGGGAUACCAUUUGGAAACAGGUGCUAAUACCGGAUAAUAAAGCAGAUCGCAUGAUCAGCUUUUGAAAGGCGGCGUAAGCUGUCGCUAAGGGAUGGCCCCGCGGUGCAUUAGCUAGUUGGUAAGGUAACGGCUUACCAAGGCGACGAUGCAUAGCCGAGUUGAGAGACUGAUCGGCCACAUUGGGACUGAGACACGGCCCAAACUCCUACGGGAGGCAGCAGUAGGGAAUCUUCCACAAUGGACGCAAGUCUGAUGGAGCAACGCCGCGUGAGUGAAGAAGGUUUUCGGAUCGUAAAGCUCUGUUGUUGGUGAAGAAGGAUAGAGGUAGUAACUGGCCUUUAUUUGACGGUAAUCAACCAGAAAGUCACGGCUAACUACGUGCCAGCAGCCGCGGUAAUACGUAGGUGGCAAGCGUUGUCCGGAUUUAUUGGGCGUAAAGCGAGCGCAGGCGGAAAAAUAAGUCUAAUGUGAAAGCCCUCGGCUUAACCGAGGAACUGCAUCGGAAACUGUUUUUCUUGAGUGCAGAAGAGGAGAGUGGAACUCCAUGUGUAGCGGUGGAAUGCGUAGAUAUAUGGAAGAACACCAGUGGCGAAGGCGGCUCUCUGGUCUGCAACUGACGCUGAGGCUCGAAAGCAUGGGUAGCGAACAGGAUUAGAUACCCUGGUGGUCCAUGCCGUAAACGAUGAGUGCUAAGUGU